GGGGGAAUUUUGGACAAUGGGCGCAAGCCUGAUCCAGCCAUGCCGUGUGAGUGAAGAAGGCCUUCGGGUUGUAAAGCUCUUUCAGCCGGAAAGAAAACGCACGGGUUAAUAACCUGUGUGGAUGACGGUACCGGAAGAAGAAGCACCGGCUAACUACGUGCCAGCAGCCGCGGUAAUACGUAGGGUGCGAGCGUUAAUCGGAAUUACUGGGCGUAAAGCGUGCGCAGGCGGUUUUGUAAGACAGAUGUGAAAUCCCCGGGCUUAACCUGGGAACUGCAUUUGUGACUGCAAGGCUAGAGUACGGCAGAGGGGGGUAGAAUUCCACGUGUAGCAGUGAAAUGCGUAGAUAUGUGGAGGAAUACCGAUGGCGAAGGCAGCCCCCUGGGUCGAUACUGACGCUCAUGCACGAAAGCGUGGGGAGCAAACAGGAUUAGAUACCCUGGUAGUCCACGCCCUAAACGAUGUCAACUAGGUGUUGGGGGAGAGACUUCCUUAGUACCGCAG
Molecule: ribosomal RNA, 504 nt
Filed under: uncultured Pseudomonadota bacterium
Lineage: Bacteria; Pseudomonadati; Pseudomonadota
Description: bacterial SSU rRNA
Rfam family: Bacterial small subunit ribosomal RNA
Source: RNAcentral